UACGGAGGGUGCUAGCGUUAUUCGGAAUUAUUGGGCGUAAAGGGCGUGUAGGCGGCUUCGCAAGUCCUUUGUGAAAGCCCUCGGCUCAACCGAGGAAUUGCAAGGGAAACUGCAGAGCUCGAGUCCGGGAGAGGAGAGCGGAAUUCCCAGUGUAGCGGUGAAAUGCGUAGAUAUUGGGAGGAACACCUGUGGCGAAGGCGGCUCUCUGGACCUGUACUGACGCUGAGACGCGAAAGCUAGGGGAGCAAACAGG
This 253-nucleotide ribosomal RNA is filed under the name uncultured bacterium. Its description in RNAcentral is "partial 16S ribosomal RNA". It matches the Rfam family "Bacterial small subunit ribosomal RNA", at positions 524 to 776 of the family's 1533-position model. The record is from RNAcentral.